RNAcentral lists this ribosomal RNA (886 nucleotides) under Micarea hypoviolascens. RNAcentral's name for it is "SSU rRNA". It matches the Rfam family "Bacterial small subunit ribosomal RNA", at positions 370 to 1299 of the family's 1533-position model. The record is from RNAcentral. Lineage: Eukaryota; Fungi; Ascomycota; Lecanoromycetes; Lecanorales; Micareaceae.
AAUGGCCUAACGGCUGAACCAGCAACUUGGAAGAACGAAUAGCUAAAGCUAGUUACAUUAUAUACUUGAUGUAAUAUCGAUUAGGUCGAAUAAAGUUCUGGGCAGAAUUAUGAUGAUGACAUUAUCUGCUCAUAUGUCUUGACCAAAUUACGUGCCAGCAGUCGCGGUAAUACGUAGCAGGCUAGUGUUAUUCAUCUUUAAUAGGUUUAAAGGGUACCUAGACGGUAAAUAAAGCCUUAACAGGAACUAAUUUACUAGAGUUGCUUAUGAGAUAGUUAUAAAGUACUUAUGGUGUAGAGAUAAAAUUCUGUAAUACCUAAUUUUCGAUAGAAAAGCGUUUGCACAGAUGUGGGCGAAGGCAUCUUUUUAUGAGACAACUGACGUUGAGGGACGAAGGCUUCGUAUAGCGAAAAGGAUUAGAUACCCUCGUAGUCGAAGCAGACAAUGAUGAGUGUCAUAGAUUAGAUAAUAUUUUAUUCUAUAAAUGAAAAUGUAAGCACUCCACCUCAAGAGUAAUUUGGCAACAUUGGAACUGAAAUCAUUAGACCGUUUCUGAAAUCAGUAGUGAAGUAUGUUGUUUAAUUUGAUAAUCCGCAAAAAACCUUACCACAACUUGAAUAUUUAUAAUUAUUAUAAAUACAAGUGUUGCACGGCUGUCUACAGUUAAUGUCGUGAGAUUUUGGUUAGUUCCAUUAAAUUAACGUAAACCCUUGCUUUAUUUUCAUAUAAAGUAGUUCUCCGCAAUAUUGGAUAAGAUAACAGGGAAUAAGACAAGUCAUCAUGGCCUUAAUGUUGUGGGCUAUAAACGUGCCACGUAAGCCUUUACAAAAGGAUGUGAAAUUGCGAGAUUGAACUAAUCCCCCAAAACUGGCUAUACCUUUUUAAU